RNAcentral lists this ribosomal RNA (461 nucleotides) under uncultured Cellulomonas sp. RNAcentral's name for it is "bacterial SSU rRNA". It matches the Rfam family "Bacterial small subunit ribosomal RNA", at positions 923 to 1382 of the family's 1533-position model. The record is from RNAcentral. Lineage: Bacteria; Bacillati; Actinomycetota; Actinomycetes; Micrococcales; Cellulomonadaceae.
GCACAAGCGGUGGAGCAUGUGGUUAAUUCGAUGCAACGCGAAGAACCUUACCUGGGCUUGACAUCCCGGGAAUCCCUUGGAAACAAGGGAGUGCCCUUCGGGGAACCUGGAGACAGGUGCUGCAUGGCUGUCGUCAGCUCGUGUCGUGAGAUGUUGGGUUAAGUCCCGCAACGAGCGCAACCCUCGUCCUAUGUUGCCAGCGGGUCAUGCCGGGGACUCAUGGGAGACUGCCGGGGUCAACUCGGAGGAAGGUGGGGAUGACGUCAAAUCAUCAUGCCCCUUAUGUCUUGGGCUUCACGCAUGCUACAAUGGCCGGUACAAAGGGCUGCGAUACCGCGAGGUGGAGCGAAUCCCAGAAAGCCGGUCUCAGUUCGGAUUGGGGUCUGCAACUCGACCCCAUGAAGUUGGAAUCGCUAGUAAUCGCGGAUCAGCACGCCGCGGUGAAUACGUUCCCGGGCCUU